UGGGGAAUUUUGGACAAUGGGGGAAACCCUGAUCCAGCCAUCCCGCGUGUGCGAUGAAGGCCUUCGGGUUGUAAAGCACUUUUGGCAGGAAAGAAACGUCAUGGGUUAAUACCCCGUGAAACUGACGGUACCUGCAGAAUAAGCACCGGCUAACUACGUGCCAGCAGCCGCGGUAAUACGUAGGGUGCAAGCGUUAAUCGGAAUUACUGGGCGUAAAGCGUGCGCAGGCGGUUCGGAAAGAAAGAUGUGAAAUCCCAGAGCUCAACUGUGGAACUGCAUUUUUAACUACCGGGCUAGAGUGUGUCAGAGGGAGGUGGAAUUCCGCGUGUAGCAGUGAAAUGCGUAGAUAUGCGGAGGAACACCGAUGGCGAAGGCAGCCUCCUGGGAUAACACUGACGCUCAGGCAAGAAAGCGUGGGGAGCAAACAGG
Molecule: ribosomal RNA, 429 nt
Filed under: Acidobacteriota bacterium
Lineage: Bacteria; Pseudomonadati; Acidobacteriota
Description: Acidobacteria bacterium partial 16S ribosomal RNA
Rfam family: Bacterial small subunit ribosomal RNA
Source: RNAcentral